AAGAACCCGAGGCAUUGGCAUCAAAAGGAAAGGAGAAAGCUAUCGAGGACAAAAACGGGAGAUUUACGGUCAUUAGGGUUCAAGGUCCAGUUCAGCAUCCAAAAAGAUCCCGACUCCAUCAAGAAAAUUUUGGUGAUGUAUUUCUUUCUUUUGUUUAAGUGGCAUGUACUAGGUGAUUGAACACGAGUUGUAUAUAUAUGAAGCCAAUUAGCAUAAAUUUAUAUGAAUUUAUAAUCAUUUUAUAAUAUGUUUGUUAUUUAUUUAAGAAUUAAUUGUAAAUUGUUUGAUAUGUCCAGUAAUGCCUCGUAAACCUGUUCCGGCGACGAUUUAGGGUUAGGGGGUGUUACAGAGAGUUAAAGUUGUUUAAAAUUCUACUAUGCUAGGAAUAAUAUGUAUAAGUGAUGCUGUGGAUUUAUUCGCCUUGUGAGUUGUUGAAUAUAACUUCACGAGUAUUGCGGUAUCAAUA
Long non-coding RNA from Gossypium raimondii (Peruvian cotton), 466 nucleotides. RefSeq lists it as uncharacterized. The transcript is spliced from 2 exons. NCBI's taxonomy places the organism in Eukaryota, Viridiplantae, Streptophyta, Magnoliopsida, Malvales, Malvaceae. The record is from RefSeq and is a predicted model, not a curated record.